Molecule: ribosomal RNA, 809 nt
Filed under: uncultured bacterium
Lineage: Bacteria
Description: bacterial SSU rRNA
Rfam family: Bacterial small subunit ribosomal RNA
Source: RNAcentral
UCGGCUUAGAGUUUGAUCCUGGCUCAGGAUGAACGCUGGCGGCGUGCCUAAUACAUGCAAGUCGAACGAAACUUCUUUAUCACCGAGUGCUUGCACUCACCGAUGAAGAGUUGAGUGGCGAACGGGUGAGUAACACGUGGGCAACCUGCCCAAAAGAGGGGGAUAACACUUGGAAACAGGUGCUAAUACCGCAUAACCAUAGUUACCGCAUGGUAACUAUGUAAAAGGUGGCUAUGCUACCGCUUUUGGAUGGGCCCGCGGCGCAUUAGCUAGUUGGUGAGGUAAAGGCUUACCAAGGCAAUGAUGCGUAGCCGAACUGAGAGGUUGAUCGGCCACAUUGGGACUGAGACACGGCCCAAACUCCUACGGGAGGCAGCAGUAGGGAAUCUUCCACAAUGGGCGAAAGCCUGAUGGAGCAACGCCGCGUGGGUGAAGAAGGUCUUCGGAUCGUAAAACCCUGUUGUUAGAGAAGAAAGUGCGUGAGAGUAACUGUUCACGUUUCGACGGUAUCUAACCAGAAAGCCACGGCUAACUACGUGCCAGCAGCCGCGGUAAUACGUAGGUGGCAAGCGUUAUCCGGAUUUAUUGGGCGUAAAGGGAACGCAGGCGGUCUUUUAAGUCUGAUGUGAAAGCCUUCGGCUUAACCGGAGUAGUGCAUUGGAAACUGGGAGACUUGAGUGCAGAAGAGGAGAGUGGAACUCCAUGUGUAGCGGUGAAAUGCGUAGAUAUAUGGAAGAACACCAGUGGCGAAAGCGGCUCUCUGGUCUGUAACUGACGCUGAGGUUCGAAAGCGUGGGGAGCAAACAGGA